CGCACCUUGCACCCCUUGGUAUUCCGAGGGGUACGCCUGUUUGAGUGUCGUGAAAUCCUCAACCCUCCUCCUCUUUUGUUAGAGGGGCCGAGGGCUUGGAAUUGGAGGCUUUGCCGGUAACUUUCUUCCCUGACCGGGGUUUGAGAUCGGCUCCUCUUAAAUGCAUUAGCGUGACCUUUGUUGGGUUCUCGGUGUGAUAGUCUGACUACGCCGUGGGGGCUCGACUCUGCAGGACACGCUUCCAACGGUCCUCGGACAACUUUCAUUUUGACUUGACCUCAAAUCAGGCGGGACUACCCGCUGAACUUAA
RNAcentral lists this unclassified non-coding RNA (310 nucleotides) under Gloeocystidiellum kenyense. RNAcentral's name for it is "partial contains 5.8S ribosomal RNA, internal transcribed spacer 2, and large subunit ribosomal RNA". The record is from RNAcentral. Lineage: Eukaryota; Fungi; Basidiomycota; Agaricomycetes; Russulales; Gloeocystidiellaceae.